Molecule: long non-coding RNA, 1906 nt
Organism: Megalobrama amblycephala (Wuchang bream)
Lineage: Eukaryota; Metazoa; Chordata; Actinopteri; Cypriniformes; Xenocyprididae
Exons: 5
Source: RefSeq, a predicted model, not a curated record
CAUUUCAAAAACUCACUAACAGUCUUUAGUUUCUCAGUCGACGAAAAGAUCCUCUUUAGCACCUUUUAAAGAAUAGAACAGAUUUCAGUGUUUCUAAGAAGAAGAAGAUUGUUUGCCACAGUUAUCAGUCAAUUAUCAGUCAGUUAUCACAAUUAUGAUUGUGUGUGUGAAAAGUGAGUCACGAUCACUUACUGUACAACUAGCACACCUCGUUUCACCACUAUCACUCUCAUACAUACCCCUAACCUAACCCUAACCCUAACCCUGAACUCAGGGCGCCAUCCAAAUGUAUCUAGUUAUCAGAGUCCCGGUAAAACUAGUGUCCUCAUAGACCAGGCUUGUGUCAAUCUAACAACACACUGAGAUUCUUCAGUCAAGACAAACAUGAAGAACAUGUUCUCAUGAUGUCCUCAUAAAACACGUGUCCUCAUAAAACAGGUGUAAAGCUACACACAACCUGACAUACUGUGAUGAACACACACAUAAUGUAAUGCAUAUAUAAAGCCAUGAACAUUACCAUGGGUUUUUAAAUAUUGAAAUAUUGAUUUGAAAUGGAUCUAUUUUGUGAUCUUGUAUAUGAUCUCAAAUCAAUAUUUCAUGUGCACAUAUUUAUUGAUCAGUAGCUGUGAAUGGGGGACACUGAUCAUCCUGUCCAUGUUUAAUUUGCAUUAAUUACUGUCUGACUGUACAUUAUCCCUUUGAUAUAUUUCAUAUAUACUGAAGGUUUGUAACUCUUAGGUGAAGUGAUUGUAUAUAAAGCUUUAUUUCUUAUUUUCAGAUAAGCCGUGAGACCCAGCUGUCAUCAGUGAUGAUUGUGCUGCUCUUACUGUGGGCCUACACCAGACUCUCAGUGAGGUUGGACCCUCUGCUCUCAAAAUGAACACUCUGUCCCAGUCAGAAGUCAGAGAUGUACAGAAGGUGAGCCCUGAGAAGGACCAGUUAUCAAUGGACCAUCAAGACGGUGUUAGACGGAGAAGAUGAGAUCAGUAUGAUGGAUCCUGAUGCCAUUGAUCCUGAUGAAAGUGUUUCUCAGGAUGUUGUUCCUGCUGGAGCUGCGCAGGCGUCUCCAGUAAUGCUGAUGUUCAGAAGAUGCCCAUUUGGAAAACUGCUGAGUUUGUCAAGGUACCUGAGGUUUAAAUUAGAGUACGACCAUCAUUGUAAGUACAUGAGCUUUCAAAAAGUGGGAGCUUAAUAAAGUAUGUAUUCAUCUGUACAGAGAAUGAGAGUUCGGCAGAAAUUAAAAAACGGAAAGGAAAAGGACAAUACGGAAAGGACAAAAGGUUUGCUGGUCAGAUGCUGAAGUUACAGCUGUAAUUGAUCAUUUUAAGGCACAUAUAACCAAAGGAAAAUUGUGGACAAAACACAAGAGAUUUUGUAAGAAAUCAAGGAAUUAGCUUGAAAAGAAAAGCACAAAAUAAGUGAUGUUACAUUGUGUCUCAUUUGAUGCUGUUCUGUAAGGAUUAUUAUUUUAGUUGUUGGUUAUGUUAGUUUCAUUCUAGAGCAUGAAUAUACUAAGACUUCACUCUGUAAAUCUCUAAAGUUUAACUGUUCUUUAAAGCAGUAGUUUGUCACAAAAACAUGACAACUUAAUAUUCAACAUUAUUAUUGAUCUGACUGCAUUGACACUAUUGUAUGAGAACUGAACUGAGCUGGACGAUGACAUCACUGUUGUCUCCAGAGCUGCUGCUGCUGUAUAGAUGAAGUGAACUAAAUUAAUAACUGAUGAGUUUUACAACAUAAUUGAAUCAACACUGAACUGACUCGGGCUGAACAAUGACACGAUACUCUUCUAGAGCUGCUGUACAGCCCAAACAAUCUUUGUUGAACAAUGUUCCUGUUAUGAGGGCUGCUUUGAAACAAUAUGUAGUUUAAAAAGCGCUUUAUAAAUAAAGGUGACUUGACUCAA